Molecule: ribosomal RNA, 435 nt
Filed under: uncultured bacterium
Lineage: Bacteria
Description: partial 16S ribosomal RNA
Rfam family: Bacterial small subunit ribosomal RNA
Source: RNAcentral
GAUGAACGCUGGCGGUAUGCUUAACACAUGCAAGUCGAACGGACUCUUCGGAGUUAGUGGCGGACGGGUGAGUAACGCGUGAGAAUCUGGCUUUGGGUUCGGGACAACCACUGGAAACGGUGGCUAAUACCGGAUGUGCCGAGAGGUAAAAGAGAAAUUGCCUGAAGAUGAGCUCGCGUCUGAUUAGCUAGUUGGUGAGGUAAAGGCUCACCAAGGCAGCGAUCAGUAGCUGGUCUGAGAGGAUGACCAGCCACACUGGGACUGAGACACGGCCCAGACUCCUACGGGAGGCAGCAGUGGGGAAUUUUCCGCAAUGGGCGAAAGACUGACGGAGAAAUACCGCGUGAGAGAAGAAGGCGCUUGGGUUGUAAACCUCUUUUCUUAGGGAAGAACAAAAUGACGGUACCUAAGGAAUCAGCAUCGGCUAACUCCGUG